GGCAGUAGAUGUAGAGAGAGCAGCCUUUUAAAUACGAGAUGUUUCUGGCAUACCUGUGGGAAGUCCAGAGACCUUGGCAAGGGACUCAGCAGUUGACAAUUUAAGAUAGUAGUUGACAAUCUCCCUUACACCUAACUGAAAGAGGAAAGAGCUUCUUAGAGCUCCCACAGACAGACUCCUCACCUCCUCAGCAUAGUAUUUAGCAGCCAGUCAGUUGUCCAGGGGAACAGUUUUACCAGCUCUAGCUAAAUGGUCCUGGACAGUUGCCAUCUGUAACACUGCAUUGGUCUGCUCAUAUGCCACUGUUUAGAAGGGUGAUAUGAUUGCCCCAGGGUGUUUCCCAUCAUCGGUGAGCAGUAAAAUGGGACCUCUGUAAGUGUUCACUAAAUUACCUUUCUGUUUUGCUAGAAAAAAGACUGCACUGCAACAGGCAGGCUGCUCCUUGUGCUUCUGGUAUGAUGCUGCCAUGGUUAAUCUGUUCUGAUUUCUGCCUUUAUAAACAGAGCUAGAAAAAUAUACUAUCUGAUUGGUACAGUAAGAAGUCACUUAGAAAGUGAUGGACAUGUCUGUUGUACUAGAGGUAUAAACAGGCUUAGAUAGCAACUUUACAUCCAUGUAGGGGUUUUAGACCUAGAAUGAUGGAAGUAGAUGUUUGUGAAUGCAAGCAGCUAGAGAAAUAGCAGGCCUGGGUAAAGUCUGGGGGUGAGCGGAAAGAAUAAACUUAUAAACGACUCAUGUUCAUGAGAGAUCAACUCUAAAAGUACAUGAUUGUUUUUGCUAUAGGCUUUUCCCCGUCACAAAGGAAAACCAUUUGAGGAUAGCAGUCAUGUCAUGUUGUUUAGCGUCUCUGGACUAUUGGCACAAAAAUGAGAUAAUAAAUUCUCCUAAUGAGUGCUAUAGAUACAUUUG
This 909-nucleotide long non-coding RNA is filed under the name Bos taurus (domestic cattle). RNAcentral's name for it is "long non-coding RNA NONBTAT011862". The record is from RNAcentral. Lineage: Eukaryota; Metazoa; Chordata; Mammalia; Artiodactyla; Bovidae.